UACGUAGGUGGCAAGCGUUGUCAGGAAUUAUUGGGCGUAAAGCGCGCGCAGGCGGUCCUUUAAGUAUGAUGUGAAAGCCCACGGCUCAACCGUGGAGGGUCAUUGGAAGCUGGGGGACUUGAGUGCAGAAGAGGAGAGUGGAAUUCCACGUGUAGCGGUGAAAUGCGUAGAGAUGUGGAGGAACACCAGUGGCGAAGGCGACUCUCUGGGCUGUAACUGACGCUGAGGCGCGAAAGCGUGGGGAGCAAACAGG
This 253-nucleotide ribosomal RNA is filed under the name uncultured bacterium. Its description in RNAcentral is "partial 16S ribosomal RNA". It matches the Rfam family "Bacterial small subunit ribosomal RNA", at positions 524 to 776 of the family's 1533-position model. The record is from RNAcentral.